CAGUAGGGAAUCUUCCGCAAUGGGCGAAAGCCUGACGGAGCAACGCCGCGUGAGUGAUGAAGGUUUUCGGAUCGUAAAGCUCUGUUGCCAGGGAAGAACGUCCGGUAGAGUAACUGUUACCGGAGUGACGGUACCUGAGAAGAAAGCCCCGGCUAACUACGUGCCAGCAGCCGCGGUAAUACGUAGGGGGCAAGCGUUGUCCGGAAUUAUUGGGCGUAAAGCGCGCGCAGGCGGCUAUUUAAGUCUGGUGUUUAAACCUUGGGCUCAACCUGAGGUCGCACUGGAAACUGGGUGGCUUGAGUACAGAAGAGGAAAGUGGAAUUCCACGUGUAGCGGUGAAAUGCGUAGAUAUGUGGAGGAACACCAGUGGCGAAGGCGACUUUCUGGGCUGUAACUGACGCUGAGGCGCGAAAGCGUGGGGAGCAAACAGGAUUAGAUACCCUGGUAGUCCACGCCGUAAACGAUGAGUGCUAGGUGUUAGGGGUUUCGAUACCCUUGGUGCCGAAGUUAACACAGUAA
RNAcentral lists this ribosomal RNA (519 nucleotides) under uncultured Paenibacillus sp. RNAcentral's name for it is "bacterial SSU rRNA". It matches the Rfam family "Bacterial small subunit ribosomal RNA", at positions 352 to 863 of the family's 1533-position model. Lineage: Bacteria; Bacillati; Bacillota; Bacilli; Caryophanales; Paenibacillaceae. The record is from RNAcentral.